Molecule: unclassified non-coding RNA, 316 nt
Filed under: Hevea brasiliensis (rubber tree)
Lineage: Eukaryota; Viridiplantae; Streptophyta; Magnoliopsida; Malpighiales; Euphorbiaceae
Source: RNAcentral
GGUGGAGUAGGCUUAACAGAACGGUAGCAACCCACAAAAACAGUGAGACAAGCCGUUAGCACGACAUUCAAAUUUGGGUCCACAUUCACAACCAGUGGGGCCAAACUCAAACCUGCUAAAGCAACAUUUGCUAAUCGUUCACUAUUCAUCAUCCUCACAGACUACUAACUCAGAAAACACUUAGUUUUCUUCCCACAGCAACAGAGAUAAGCUUACAAAACAGAAGUAAAAUUGCUGAUCUCCGAGUAGACAGAUCAAGAUGAGAUUUUUCAACAAGAUAGAAUUUUUUGUAACGUUUUUGGAUUUUUUAUUUUUU